UACGAAGGGGGCUAGCGUUGCUCGGAAUCACUGGGCGUAAGGGUGCGUAGGCGGGUCUUUAAGGACGGGGGGAAAUCCUGGAGCUCAACUCCAGAACUGCCUUUGAUACUGAAGAUCUUGAGUUCGGGAGAGGUGAGUGGAACUGCGAGUGUAGAGGUGAAAUUCGUAGAUAUUCGCAAGAACACCAGUGGCGAAGGCGGCUCACUGGCCCGAUACUGACGCUGAGGCACGAAAGCGUGGGGAGCAAACAGG
RNAcentral lists this ribosomal RNA (252 nucleotides) under uncultured bacterium. Its description in RNAcentral is "partial 16S ribosomal RNA". It matches the Rfam family "Bacterial small subunit ribosomal RNA", at positions 524 to 776 of the family's 1533-position model. The record is from RNAcentral.